AUGGGGUCGCUGGGGAAGGAUGCGGCGACGGCGGGGGAGCGGGUGGUGCUGGCGGUGAACGGCGUGCGGCGCGAGGCGGCCGGCGUGGACCCAUCGACGACGCUGCUGGAGUUCCUCCGCACGCGCACGCCCGUCCGGGGGCCCAAGCUCGGCUGCGGCGAAGGUGGGUGCGGCGCAUGCGUGGUGCUCAUCUCCAAGUACGACCCGGCCACCGACGAGGUCACCGAGUUCUCGGCGAGCUCCUGCUUGACGCUCGUCGGCAGCCUCAACCACUGCUCGGUAACCACCAGCGAGGGCAUCGGCAACACCCGCGAUGGCUACCACCCCGUCCAGAAGCGCCUCGCCGGCUUCCACGCCUCGCAGUGCGGCUUCUGCACCCCCGGCAUGUGCAUGUCCAUCUUCUCCGCCCUCGUCAAGGCCGACAAGCCCGGCGCCGCCGGCGAGCCAGCCCCGCCGCCAGGGUUCUCCAAGCUCACGUCGUGCGAGGCGGAGCACGCAGUCUCCGGCAACCUCUGCCGCUGCACGGGCUACAGGCCCAUCGUCGACGCCUGCAAGAGCUUCGCCGCCGACGUCGACCUCGAGGACCUCGGGCUCAACUCCUUCUGGAAGAAAAGCGCUGAUCGUGCCGAGGUCGGCAAGCUGCCGGAAUACUCCAGUGGCGCCGUCUGCACCUUCCCGGAGUUCCUAAAGUCCGAGAUCAAGGCCUCCGUUGAUCAGCAGACGAACAAUGUGCCGGCGGCGAUCGCCGGCGAGGACGGCUGGUACCAUCCCAGGAGCAUCCAGGAGCUCCAUAGCCUCUUCGAUUCCAACUGGUUCGACGGGAAUUCAGUCAAGAUCGUGGCGUCAAACACCGGCGCCGGAGUGUACAAGGAUCAAGACCUGUACGAAAAGUACAUCGACAUCAAAGGGAUCCCGGAGCUUUCCGUCAUCGACAGGAGCAGCAAGGGGGUGGAGAUCGGGGCGGCCGUGUCCAUCUCCAAAGCCAUCGAGGUCUUCUCCGAUGGCACUCCGGUCUUCAGAAAGAUCGCCGGUCACCUCAGCAAGGUGGCCUCGCCGUUCGUCCGCAACACGGCGACCGUCGGCGGGAACGUGAUCAUGGCGCAGCGGCUGCAAUUCCCAUCGGACAUCGCCACCGUUCUUCUCGCCGCCGGCUCCACGGUCACCAUCCAGACGGCUUCCAAAAUGCUGUGCCUCACAUUGGAGGAAUUUCUGGAGCAGCCUCCCUGUGACGCCAAGACCAUACUGCUCAGCAUAUUUGUCCCGGAUUGGGGUUCAGACAAUGUCAUCUUCGAGACAUCUCGUGCAGCACCGAGACCGUUCGGCAAUGCUGUGUCCUAUGUGAAUUCUGCAUUCCUGGCAAGGACUUCAGGGGAUGCAGCAUCAGGGGAGCUCAUCGUCGACGAAAUCUGCCUCGCGUUCGGCGCCUACGGUGUCAAUCACGCGGCACGGGCUUGGAAGGUGGAGGAAUUCUUGAAGGGGAAAUCAAUGAGUGCAUCUGUGAUACUUGAAGCGGUUCGGUUGCUGAAAGAUGCUAUCUCGCCGUCAGAAGGCACCACACACCCUGAGUACAGAGUCAGCUUGGCUGUCAGUUUCUUGUUCAGUUUCCUGUCUUCACUUGCUAAUAACCUGAAUGAACCGGCGAAGGCUAUUACUACCAAUGGUUUAUCUACUAAUGGAACCAUGAAUGGUAAUGGCGCGUCGUCACUGGAAAAGGAAAGUAAGGUUGCCAGCGAUGAUUUGCCGAUCCGCUCAAGGCAAGAACUGGUUUUCACUGAAGAAUAUAAACCUGUCGGCAAGCCGACAACGAAAGCCGGGGCCGAGCUACAAGCUUCUGGGGAGGCUGUGUAUGUUGAUGACAUCCCAGCACCCAAGGAUUGCCUCUACGGAGCAUUUAUCUACAGCACACACCCUCAUGCCCAUAUCAAAGGUGUCAACUUCAAAUCAUCUCUGGCUUCAAAAAAGGUCAUCACGGUUAUCUCGGCAAAGGACAUUCCUGCCGGUGGAAGGAAUAUUGGAUCCAGCUUCCCGGGGCUAGGAGACGAAGCGCUCUUCGGUGAUCCGGUUUCUGAAUUUGCUGGUCAAAACGUUGGCGUUGUGAUUGCUGAAACACAGAAGUACGCCUAUAUGGCGGCGAAGCAAGCCGUCAUCGAGUAUAGCACCGAGAAUCUCGAGCCGCCCAUUCUGACAAUAGAGGAUGCCAUCCAACAUGACAGCUACUUCCAUCCUCCCCCGUUUUUGGCUCCUAAGCCAGUUGGGGAUUUCGAGCAAGGGAUGUCUGAAGCUGAUCACAAGAUUUUAUCAGGAGAGGUGAAACUUGAAUCACAGUACUACUUCUACAUGGAGACUCAGACCGCCUUGGCCGUCCCCGACGAAGAUAACUGCAUCACCGUCUAUGCCUCAACUCAGAUACCCGAGGUCACGCAGAAUGUCGUCGCGGACUGCCUCAGCAUUCCGUACCACAAUGUUCGCAUCGUCACAAGAAGAGUUGGCGGCGGCUUCGGCGGGAAGGCAAUGAAAGGAUGCCAUGUGGCAUGCGCGUGUGCAGUUGCAGCGUUCAAGCUGCGGCGCCCAGUCCGGAUGUACCUCGACCGCAAGACGGACAUGAUCAUGGCAGGAGGGCGGCACCCGAUGAAGGUGAAGUACAACGUGGGGUUCAAGUCGGACGGCACGCUCACGGCGCUGCACCUCGACCUCGGCAUCAACGCCGGGAUAUCGCCGGAUGUGAGCCCGGCGCUCCCGUCGGCCAUCGUCGGUGCUCUGAAGAAGUACAACUGGGGCGCCCUGGCCUUGGACGUCAAGGUGUGCAAGACCAACGUCUCGUCCAAGUCAGCCAUGCGCGGCCCCGGGGACGUGCAGGGCUGCUUCAUCGCGGAGGCCAUCAUCGAGCACGUCGCGUCGGCGCUCGCGGCCGACACCAACGCCGUCCGGAGGAAGAACCUCCACGGCUUCGAGAGCCUCACGAAGUUCUACGGCGACGCCGCCGGCGAGGCCUCGACGUACAGCCUCGUUGAAAUAUUCGACAAGCUGGCUUCGUCGCCGGAGUAUCGGAGCAGGGCGGCCGCGGUGGAGCGGUUCAACGGCGGGAGCAGGUGGAAGAAGCGGGGCAUCUCCUGCGUGCCGAUCACGUACGAGGUGAGGCUCCGGCCUACGCCCGGGAAGGUGUCCAUCAUGAACGAUGGGUCCAUCGCCGUCGAGGUCGGUGGCGUGGAGAUCGGGCAGGGGUUAUAUACCAAGGUGAAGCAGAUGACCGCGUACGGGCUGGUUGAGCUCUGCUCCGACGCCGACGAGCUCAUCGACAAGGUGCGUGUCAUCCAGGCCGACACGCUGAGCAUGAUCCAGGGCGGAUUCACCGGCGGGAGCACCACGUCCGAGACCAGCUGCGAGGCUGUCCGGCUGUCGUGCGCCACGCUCGUCGAGCGGCUCAAGCCCAUCAAGGAGAGCCUCGAGUCCAAGUCCGGCAAGCCUGUGCCAUGGAAGGCCUUGAUUACCCAGGCGACCAUGGCGAGCGUGAACCUGUCGGCGCAGGCGUACUGGAAGCCUGACCCAGCCUUCGUGAAGUACAUCAACUACGGUGCCGCCGUCAGCGAGGUUGAAGUCGACGUGCUUACUGGGGGGACGACGAUCCUGAGGAGCGACCUGGUGUACGACUGCGGGCAGAGCCUGAACCCGGCGGUGGACCUCGGCCAGGUGGAGGGCGCAUUCGUGCAAGGGGUUGGGUUCUUCACCAACGAGGAGUACACGACGAACGCGGACGGGCUGGUGGUGAACGACGGCACCUGGACGUACAAGAUCCCCACGGUGGACACCAUCCCGAAGCAGCUCAACGUGGAGCUGCUUACCAGCGCGCGCGACAAGAAGCGGGUGCUCUCCUCCAAGGCGUCCGGCGAGCCGCCGCUGCUGAUGGCGGCGUCGGUGCACUGCGCGAUGCGGGAGGCUAUCAGGGCGGCCAGGCAGGACUUCUCGGCCAGCUCGCCGCUGACGUUCCAAAUGGACGUGCCGGCCACCAUGGCCGACGUCAAGGAGCUCUGCGGCCUCGACGUCGUCGAGAGGCACCUCGAGAGCCUCUCCUCUGCCGCCGCCGGUCCCAACGCCGCCGUCAAGGCGUGA
This 4107-nucleotide ribosomal RNA is filed under the name Triticum aestivum (bread wheat). Its description in RNAcentral is "partial small subunit ribosomal RNA". Lineage: Eukaryota; Viridiplantae; Streptophyta; Magnoliopsida; Poales; Poaceae. The record is from RNAcentral.